RNAcentral lists this long non-coding RNA (5212 nucleotides) under Pongo abelii (Sumatran orangutan). RNAcentral describes it as "lincRNA". The record is from RNAcentral. Lineage: Eukaryota; Metazoa; Chordata; Mammalia; Primates; Hominidae.
GUAUCCUGGUGAAGUUUGGAUGCAGAGAACUUGGAGCGGUUGUUUUCUACCAGACACUAGGAUCCCUGUGAGAGGUGUCGUUCUUUACUGCUGCACACACCUUCCUCCACAUGGUGAAGAUACAUCGCUCCUGACAGAUCCAAAGGGAGAUAUCGAUCCAUGGAAGAUGGUUGCUGUCGGAAAAUGCUGAGAAGUUUGCACAAGGAAUGGAAGCAGAGUUAACCAAUGUAUCAGGAAGCUUACACUUUCUCCUUUUAAACGGCUGUGCUGGUCUAUUAAGACAUGCCUAAUACCCAAACCUGAGGGGCAAAAGGGGAGAGAAUGAAGUUUAUGUGUCUGUGUCGUAGAGAAAAGCUGCCAAAAUGUGAUUAAGCUUUUUGAGUUAGAACUUAAUAAAAUGCCUUUGCUACUGGUUUCCAUGGUUGUCCAGUGAAAAGAGUGAAUACAUUUAUAGGAAACACAAAAGGUGGUUUCAGAGCUAGGGCAGGAUGGAAGACGUAUUUCUUCUACUAUUCGCUCCUGUGAGUUUAGUACCACAGACCUGCUCAGGCAUCUGGGAGAUGCCGGUGGGAGAUGCCAGGGCUGAGCAGGUUUGAAUUUCUUCCUAAACGGGGAACAAAGACCUUGAGGAAGGAAUAUAGAUCUUCAGGAAGACCCAGCUCCUCACUAAUGAGCUUACCAAAACAUCCCACCUAUCUGGCCCCUGGCUGCCUCUCUGGCCUCAUCUCCCUCCUCUCUCACCAUUGUUUUCUCUGCCUUAGCCACGCUGGCCUGACUGCCUCCAGCUCAGGGGACACCUUGCUGUCUCCACAACCUUGUGCUUCCUGAGCUGGAUAUCAUUCUCCUGAUAUCUGCAUACGUCACCCAUCUCACUUCUGGUACAUCUCUGACCCCCUGGACACCUCACCUUAAAAUAGUACCACUGGACCCCGUCGGCCAUGUUACACUGCUUUAGUUUUCUCACACUUGCUUAUUACUCCUGAAACAGCAAUUUGUAAAUUGUCUCUAGCACCAGACUGUAAGGGCGGUAACGACAGGGGCUUUGAGUGUCUUGUUCUCUGCUCUGUCUUCAACUCCUAGAUGCGUCUCUAACGUGCAGUAGGUCCUUAGUAAAUAUUUAUAGAAUGCAUGAAUGAACCAGUAAGUAUAGUGCCUGGCACAUGAUUAAGUGUUGAAGAAGUGUUAGUAAUUAUUAUGGACAUUACUCACACUGCCAAACUACUUCGUGAAUUUUCCCAGGGGUAGGGAACUCCUCAUCUUAUAGUUUAAAUGGAACAUCACUUUAUUGGGCUAGUACCAUAACUGGAACUUUAACAACCAUUACUUCAUUUCAUCCACACAUCAGCCUUAUGAAUAAGUGUUACUGUUCCCACUUUGCACAUGAGAAAAAGAAGGAUCAAAAUGUCAAAUGACCACCAACUACUCCAUUCAGGAUCACUUAUACGGUUUGGCUCUGUGUCCCUACCACAGUCUCAUCUCAAAUUGUAAUCCCCAGGUGUCUUGGGAGAGAUCUGAUGGGAGAUGGUUGGAUCAUGGGGGCAGUUUUCCCCAUACUGUUCUCGUGAUAGUGAGGGAGUUCUUGUGAGAUCUGAUGGUUUAAAAGUGGCAGUUUCUCCUGUGCUGUCUUUCUCCUGUCGCCUUGUGAAGAAGGUGCCUUGCUUCACCUUCUGCCAUGAUUGUAGGUUUCCUGAGGCCCUCUAGCCAUGCAGAACUGUGAGCCAAUUACACCUCUUUUGUUUAUAAAUUACCCCGUCUCAGGUAGUAUCUUUAUAGCAGUGUGAGAACGGACUAAUAUAUUCACAAAGCUGGAGGAGGGAGUGCUGUGAGUUAAACCCAUCAGUCCCAAAUCCAUUUCUCUUUCAACCACUCCCAGCAUUGGUUCCGGGAACUCCAGGCAUGGAGCUCUCCUUCCUCAGGAUGCCCAUAGCACCUGCUUUUCGUAUUUGAUGAAUCUUGCCUUGCACUGUCAUCAGGGGUCUCUCCCUCCACUCCAUGAGUUCCUUGAGAGCUGAGACCAAAUCUUAUUCCCAGAGCACAGGGCUGGGAAUACAGCAGGAGCUCAGAAACAUCUUGACUUGGGCUAGUGUGAGGAGUGGGAGAAAAAAGGAGAGGAUUGUGUGUGCAUGUAAGAGUGGGUCCUUUGCCUCUUAAAAAAGUAUCUACUGCAGCUUGUGCUGAAUAUGAGUGUUCUGAAUCCUCAGUAUGAUCAGGGAGGGCACUCAGAGAGAAAGAAGAGCUGAAAUGAUCUAUGUGAGGGUUCCCCAUUCAGUGUCAUCUGGAGCAAAUAGUCUUCCCCAGAGUUUACAAGCAUAUGGAAGCCCAGGGGCCGCAAGAAGCCAAGGUAGCCAAAGUUCACCUACCUGCUAUGACAGCCCCCUGGGGUGAGUCGUCUCCUCAUUUAAUAAAAUAAAUUAGGAGGGCUGGAUAUGCCUUAAAAUAAUGGUUCUAUAACUGCAAAGAAGCUGACUGUAACUCUGCCACCUGUUAGGAACAGGAUGUCACUGUCACUGAAACAGAAGACUGAAAAUUAGCCCAUGCUAUAUAUAAAUUGGGAGGGUGGUGGGGGGGCAGGGAACUGGGAACAUCUCGUUUUGACAUUCAGCAAUAUUUUCAAGGCUCUCUAAAGAACCUCAGAAGAAAAGAAUGUAAGAGAGUCCAGGACCUAAAGGGAAAUAAGGACCUGAUUUUCAAUCGCAUUUUGACCUGAAAAUGAAAUAAAAGCCUGUAUUGUGAUGACUUGAGUAGCUUGCUGUCCUAGAGCUGCACAAUUGAAGUGGUUUCAUUUCUGAGUACCUUCUGCCACUCACUAGAUUCUGGAAUUAAUCCUCUGCCAGGCUAAAAGCAGAAACAGCUACAGGGCUAACACUUCCUAGGAAGAAGUAUUUAGCAGAAGCAGUGGUGUUCAGUGUGGAGGCAUUUUAACACAGGGUUCCGGAAGGUUCAUCUGCAUCCUGCACUGACCCAGCACAGGGUCUGUAGUGGUCACAGUGGUUGAAUUCCCACCAUCUAUUUCUUACCAAAUAAUCAGACUAAGCCAGUGGUUCUUCAUGAGAGGCUAUUCCCCUCCCCCACUAAGGUGACAUUGGCAAUAUCUAGCAACGUUUUUAGUUGUCAUACCUGGGGAGGUGUUACUGGCAUCUCAUGGGUAGGAGCCAAGGAUGAUGUUUAACAUCCUACAAUGCACAGGAAAGCACUCCAACAAAGACUUACCUGCCCCAAAACAUUAAGAGUGCUGAUGUUGAGAAAACUUGGUGGUCUAUGGGGUUUGAUUUGCCAAUGUCUGCCUUAAGAAUGGGUGUAAGACUUUAUCCCAGCAAAUAGUCUUGAAGCAAAGUCUGUUGGAAGCUAUUUGAGAAAGGUUCUCUCAUUCUUAAGAAGGAGAACCAGAAGAAACUGUCUCUUUUCUUUUGGCUGUUGUAGUGUUUGAAUGUGACUUCUGGACCUGUUGUAGCCACUUUGAGACCCUGAAGGGAACAAUUUUGAGAGCAAUCCAGCCAUAUCCAGUAAAGCUGGAGAUGUGCAAACUUGCAACCAGCAAUUCCGCCCAUAGACAUAUGCCCUGGAGAAGUCUUUACACAAGUGCACCAGAGGGCAAGUACACAAGUGUUCCCGGCAGCAUUGUAAUACUGAAAACUCACCAAUAUUUGUUUGUAAAUAGGCAAAUGGAUAAUUAAAUUGUUACAUAACUAUUAAAAAUAAAUAUUUAGCAGUGACAGUAAAUAAAUUAUGCCUUUGGAUGCAUGUCACAAAUAGAAAGUUGAAUGAAAAGUACAAAUUGAAUUUUUCUCCCCGGGCACAUGUUUGCCGCAAAGGCCCUGGUGGCUGAGACCAAGGCUGGCUCUUUACUGUGAGGCCAGCCUUGCAGGUGGGGCAGAGAGGAGGAAAUUUUAUUGUAAGACCUGGGACAAAGGUGGCUUCUGGAACUCCCAAAGAAAAUAGAUUUUUCUGGUAAGGGGAAUGCAAGGCAAGGCUUCUCUGAUGUGUUAGCCUCAGAAGGUGUAAGGUUAAAUAAUGAUCUCAUCAGUAUAACAGGAGCUGGACAGUAUUAAUCAGUGGUCCAAUUCAAAAUAAAGCCACACUCUGCUAUAAGCAAAGUAAUGAAGGCUUAUUGUGACCUGGGGCUCCUUAAUGACACAGAUUUGAUUCCCACUUAAUGGGCAACUGAAUAAUGCAGCUGAUAGCCCAGACCAGCAGGGAAGGCAGACCAGAGGGGUACAGUAGGCUGCCCGGGAUGAGGCAUCUAAAGACUCUUAUCACAUGUCACAUCAUCAGGCCUUGAAUUUACUAUUAAACAGCAAAUAAGCAAAUAUGCCACUGACAGAAGACCUUUCCAAACUUCAGGGCAUCUACUAAAAUUAUAUUUAUCUCUCUUUGAUAUACCAAUCACGCAACUCAAAACUAUGCAGAAACUAAUCUACAUAUUAAAUUGUGCCAAUAAAUGUUGUCUUCUCUGUUUACAUAAAAUGAAUUGCAAGUUCCCAUAUGGUUCCUUAAAUCUGUGGCCUAAAUAUAUUUUUUUUAAUUUCAGAGACACUUUUAUGUCUUGUGAUCUUUAUUCUCAGAUAUGUAAUUUUUUUUCUCACUGCUUAUUUUCCUAAUGUAAAUUUCUCAGUUAUUAUAGUGGGGAAUUUUUUUUAUUGGAUAACCUUUGGGAGCAUGAUGAGGAUAGAAAAAUGAUUAACUGAGUAUUAUACACAUUAUCAUUAAAUGGAUAAACUUCUAAUAUCGGGAUUGUGUAUGCUUAAAAUAAGUUUAAAAUAUUGCAAAUUUAAGUAUCUUUUGUCAGAACAUGAGAAAGUUGAGGGAAAAAUAGUGGAAAGUUCCUAAAAGGGAAACAAAAAAAACAGCUUACACUAUUAGUGAUGACUAUUUGCUUUCUGUUACGAUAUCUGAAUCUUUAAUAUCAGUAGAAAUUAGGUUCCAAACUAAAACUGUUCAUUACAAUUGCUCAGCAUCAAGUAAUUUUUAUGUUGGAUAAAGACACAACUCAAUUGCUCUCCCUGAUAUCAAUAUGGGGAACAACCCACUGUGUUUCUCAUUUGGUGUUAAUAUUGUGGCCUCAGAUUUCCUCUCAUAAUUGCUUCAAUAAUUACAAUCUAUACAUAAAAACUAAAACUAAUUAUUGAUGAGCUUGUAGUUCUGUUGUAUGUGUACAAGAGCUAUUCAAAGAAUGGUUGAAAAGGAAAACUAUGAAUAAAAUAUUAUUCUCAUG